GGCGAAGAAAGAUGCAAAAGAGGCAGAAUGUGAAACACAGACUCCAGAUUCCACACACCAGCUGCUUUGAUCUCAUCCUGAGGGCAUCUAUAGAAAGGACAAAUAAGCUGUGAAAGUGCAUUCUACAACAAUAUGGAACAAGCUUCCUACAGGGCAAUGAACAGACAGUAGUGCAGGUAAUUGGCUGUUUUGUUUUGGAAUCUGCUACCUACUGAGAUACUGGCAAGGACGUGGGUGGGUGAGUGGUAACAGCUUCAAGGACUCGUUUUUGUAGAAAAAGAAGGGACAGUGACUUGAGGUCAUGUGGAGAGUUAGCCGACACCUCUGUGAGCUGCUUCCACUGUUGAGAAACCAAGCUACCAAUUAGUAUAAAUUAAUACUAUCAAUUAGUAGUUUAGUUGAUAUAGGCAGAUUUAAUUUUAUGAAGUGUGAGUUUAGAAGUUUGAUUAAUAACAUGUUGGGUUUUCCAAGGACCUAGGGAAUGUGCUGCACUGACUGCAGGUAAGCCAGCCAAAGGGCUUUGGUUAACUGCAGUUAUGCAGGCUGUUCUUCCUGCAUAACUGACUUGGUCUUCAGUGAAGGCUACAUUCUCAAAUAUGAGCGCAAAAUGAAGAAGCAGCAUGAAUACUUCAGGUAAAGGAACAAAAGCUAUCCAAAGGAAUCUUGAUUUUAACAGGUAGGUGAUGAAGUUCAUGUUCUGAUUCCAUAGAUGCAAGGUGACAGCCCACAAAAACAAGCUCUGUUGUGAUUUUUGUUUCACCAGGCAUGACAGAAUUGGUGAAGGUUUAUUACGUGCUUCUUCACUUUACGCACUGAAUAGUCAGUAAUUUAUUGCAUCCUUUCAGUUAAGCUGUGGAUCUUGUCUGUUUUGUUAGCUCUGGAUCACAGUUGUGUUUUACCUUAACUGAAGGUAUGUAAUAGGGAAAAAAAAAAAAAAAAGCAGUAGUACGAAAGAAUAUUUUAUUUUAGUGCAAGCCAAAUAAAAACUGUAUGCCUAAACCCACACAAAAACCAAGCAGUAGUACAGAAGUUGGAAAAAUGUUUGCAUAUAUCUGUAGACAUCUCAGAGAAUUAUUUUGCAAAGGUAUAUUGCCAUCUAGUGCUAAACUUUCUUCUAUUCGUUGUAGUGUGUGCUUGUACAUUUGCAGUAGAUUCCUCACUGACACUUUCAUGAGAAUCAUCAGAAAUAAUUUUCACUUCUACUGUCAGGGCUGCUGGCAUUGUAAAUUUACUCUCUAGAAAGAGAGUUUGCUAAAGUUGCUGCCCUGUUCCUUUUUAAGCACUGAGAGGAAGAGUUAAAACAAAAUGUAAUUUUUUAUGUACAUCUGUAUGUAUACCUGUAGCAUUAACCCUUAGAUAAUAACAUCUUCAUAGAGAGGGAUGAGUCUGGAUUAAUUUUACAAACGGAAUUUUGGCACAAAGGUGAUGUAGCUUCUUCUCUUCCUUUUUACACAGGUUUUUGUUCAUUUGUUUGUUUUUUGUGCAUGUAGUUUUUUAGGUUUUGGUAUAUACAUAUUUUCUCCUUUUCUACACAUCUCAUUUCUGAGUUUUACUUAAUGUGGUAAGUUGUGUAUUUUUUUGUCCUAUGGCAUUCAAAGAUGAUAACACUUUUAAAUCUCACUUACCACAACUUCUCUUUAACUUUGAACUUACAUAGCAGUGAAUUCCACAUAGUGAACUAGAAUUUUGUAAUAUGUCUGGCAAUGCUUCCUCUUAGAAAGGUUUUAGGAACUUUGCACUCUUUCAUGCCUUGUGUUAUAGCUGUGUGAAACUUUGCCAUAGUUUAGCUGUUGAAGCUAUAAUUUCCUGAGGCUUGGUUAGGAAUACAGGUUUUUACCCAGCUGUGGGACUGAAAAUGAAGAGGGAGUUUAUUGUAUGCUUCAUUAUUUGUUAACCCUGGAAAGCUAAAAGCAAAAGCAUACACAUUUAGGAAAUAGAUAAAACUCAGUAUAAAUUAACUAUUGUCUCAGUUCCCCACUUGUUCUUUUUUUUUUUUUUUUUUU
This is a non-coding RNA of Phasianus colchicus (ring-necked pheasant), 2003 nucleotides long. The record is from RefSeq and is a predicted model, not a curated record. Lineage: Eukaryota; Metazoa; Chordata; Aves; Galliformes; Phasianidae.